RNAcentral lists this long non-coding RNA (1887 nucleotides) under Capsicum annuum. Its description in RNAcentral is "long non-coding RNA (CANN_LNC007713)". Lineage: Eukaryota; Viridiplantae; Streptophyta; Magnoliopsida; Solanales; Solanaceae. The record is from RNAcentral.
AGCAUUAUACAUUAUCUAGAAACAAGAGCUUUAUAAAAUCAAGCAAAGGUAAUACCACUAAAAUAUACCAUUAAUAAAAUUGGUCUUAAAGAGAAAUAAGACAAGGAAAUUGAAAGAGCGGGGCUUAAGAAGUUAGGGCAUGACUGAUUGAACAGAGAUCAAGCAGAAGGACCAAACUGGGGAUUGGAUAACUGACAAAGUAGAAGGGUGAUUCUUCCAAUCUCAAUUACAUGGUUCCUCAAUAGUUUUUGAGUUAGUUCCUCAACUUUAUCUUCCAAUUCAUUAUCCUCACAACAUAUAAUUUUCAUCACAGGGACCCUUAUUCUUACCUGGUCCCUCCUCUCGACCCUUCAGAUUAACAGUCAUCAAAGUAACAAUCUCAGUAUCCCUUUAUGCUAAGAGAGAAAUUAUUUCUUCCAAAUCCCCAUUCAACUAGUUUUGAAAUUUGAUCAGGUCUACUACCACUGACUUUGACUUCACUCCACUUUGCCUAGUGAUGCACUCAUUAUCCUCUAAAGUGGACACUGUGAACUUUUUCUUAAUGGAUCUAUUGUCUCUCUUCUCUCGAUAGUGAUUUUCCCUUCCCUUUAGAUGUAGCGGAUUUCACACUAGGACCAGUUCCCUUGAUGAAUAUACCAAACUCUUUGGAAGACUUGGUUGUUUUGAAAUUAGGACCUGGUCCCUUAGAGCUUUGUGCCUCUUCCCUCUUUAUUUUUCCUCCAUUGGUAGACACUAACUUCUUUAUCAUUACUUUUACAGCUUUGACUUUCAUUGGUGUAAUAAUAGUACUAGCCUUAACUUUGGUCCUUUCAGCGACCACACUCAUUGCCAUAUUCUAAUCACUCUCUUCUUCAAAAUCACUAUUACUCUUAGUUUCCUUAGACUACUUCAUAGCCACAUUAUCUAUUAUGGGUACAUCAAGCUUGACUACAAAUCUACUUCUAGAUUUUUCUUCUUUUGGGUACUAAGUGUGCUUUUAAUCAAUGCAUCCUCCAUUAAUUUCUUGGAACUCAACCUGGUCUCAUGAGUUUAGCCAGCUAUUGAUGGCAGUCUGGUAUUGGAAAAAACCUUUUGUUUGGUGAAUUUCCAAGAAUACGGCUUGUCAUUAUCACUAUCAGAGGUCUCUUUUUCAUCCAUAACCUUCUUAGAUACAAUAUUACUAGGGGGAAAAUAUCACCUUUUUCCUCAGCAUCCUUAGAAGGAUUAUUAUAUUGCAACAUUGCAAGGGAACCAGGAGUGUUAUCCCACUUGAAAGGUGUAGGAGUGCUUGAAUCUUAAGGGUUCUCCUUUCUUAGGGCAUUUAAUCCUUAGAUACCUAUUUCCUCACUCACAAAAAUAUGUUUGGAGAUGUUUUUUUUGAAUUAGAAAGAUCCCCGUCAAACAUGUGUUUCUCAACAACAUGACUCUUAGGAAAGGUAGAUGGAGUAGGAUAUUUAGGUAGGGUUAUUUUAAAAGGAUAAACUGAUUAGAAAGCCUGAGGAAUAAGGUGGGAUAUCAAUUCAGUGAUAGACUCUGAUUCUCUUUCAAUAGAUAUAGAAAAUCUAAAGUAGGAAUAGAUGGAAUGUCUUGACCAACAGUCACUUGAAAAGAGGAAGAUAAUAUAUUUUUAACUUUUAGUAGUGUAAAGAGACUCACAUCAGUGGAAGUGGGGGAAGAGUGAAUAUAAUCACUGCUAUAAGGAGAGAAUAAAAAAGAAACAACUUGAACAAGUUUGGAAUCAUUUGGAGAAGGAGAUGAGGGAGAUAAAUGAGAUAGAUUACAAGAUUUCUUAACUGUUAUGUUCUCAAAGAAAUUUUAAGAGGAAGAGAAAAUUUGGGAACUGAUAUGGUGAGAGUUUUGGUUGUGAAGGUAAAGAGAGUGAUGGAUGGGGUUUAAAUAAGGGAGGAA